Molecule: long non-coding RNA, 1350 nt
Filed under: Macaca fascicularis (crab-eating macaque)
Lineage: Eukaryota; Metazoa; Chordata; Mammalia; Primates; Cercopithecidae
Description: lncRNA (ENSMFAG00000048493.1)
Source: RNAcentral
UUUUUUUUUUUUUAGCAUAGUAACUAAAAAUGACAACCCUUCACAUAUUUGGCCAGCUGUUGGCUCUGUGCUAUGCUUGAUGUUGCAGCAAAUGUAAAAGACAAACAGCUUACUGUCUAGAAAGACUGAUGCGGCUGUGACUGGAGGCACAUGGUGGAUGCCAUGCGGAGGGCCAAGGACAAGGGCCGGAGGAGGAGUGGGAGCUGCUGCUGCUGGGGGGAGAGGGAAGAGCUGGAGAGGGUGGUGUGAGAAAGCAGCUGCCUCUGGGCAGGGCUCCAGAAAGGGAGCCAGACAAGUGACUAGGGGGUUCCAGGCAAGGUCCAGGCAUGGGAGUCCUGACAACAGACUUAGUGCAUUUGUGAAAUCCUGCAAAGGUCGGGCAGACAGACACCUGAGUUUAUAGUACUGGCUAGUAUUAAUAAGGGCCUCACCCAGAGUGGUAGAUUCUUCUCCUUUAUUUUUCAAGUUUUACUGAAAUGUACUUAUUUUUGAGACUGGGACUCACCCUGUCGCCCAGGCUGGAGUGCGGUGGUGUGAUCUUGGCUCACUACGGCCUCGAACUCCUGGGCUCAAGCGAUCCUCUCACCUCAGUCUCCCAAGCAACUGGGACAAGGUGCCACCACGCCUGGCUCAUUUUGUGUGUGUGUGUGUAGGGGUAGGUGUAGGUGGAAACUUUGUUGUCUAGGCUGGUCUCAAACUCCUGAGUUCAAGCAAUCCUCUUGUCUUGUGUAUUAGUCUAAUCUCACACUGCUAUGAAGAAAUACCUAAGACUGGGUAAUUUAUAAUGAAUGAGCCAAAAAGUAAGGAAGUUUAAUUGACUCACAGUUCUGCAUGGCUGGGGAAGCCUCAGGAAACUUACAAUCAUGGUGGAAGGCACCUCUUCACAGGGUGGUAUGGAAGAGAAUGACAAGUGAAGGGGGAAGCCCCUUAUAAAACCAUCAGAUCUCGUGAGAACAUACUCACUGUCAUGAGAAUAACAUGGGGGAACCGCCCUCAUGAUGCAAUUACCUCCUACCAGGUCCCUCCCACAACAUGUGGGGAUUAUGGGAACUACAAUUCAAGAUGAGAUUUGGGUGGGGACGAGGCCAAACCAUAUCACCUUGGCCUUCCAAAGUGCUGGGAUUAAAGGUGUGAGCCACUGUGUCCAGCCAUAGAAACUUAUGAUAAGUCAUGUUUCUUGUUUGAGAAAUAGCUACCAUGAGCGCUAUUAUUAUUAAAGCUAUAUAUUAUUAGAGAGCAGACAUCUCACUGUAUCUGCUGAUUUUAAAUGCAUUGAUCAUCUGAUACAAAGUACGGUAAGCUUGGAAACAAGUAAUUUAACAGCGGUAGAUGAUGCAGGUCGUAGUGGGC